AUCAUGAACUCGAGGCGGUGCCGGGGCAGGCGCAGAGCUGGCAAGCACGUGGUGGGGCCCCUGAGGUGUGCAGAGGGUCGCGCACCUAGAAGCCUGUCGCUGGCGCGGUCUGGGCGGGAGGUUCUGCGGCGGGAGGCAGCCUGUUGGUUGCAGGGCUGAAAAAGCAGUUCUACAAGGCAAGCCAGCUGGUCAGUGAGAAGGUCGGAGGGUCUGAGGGGACCAAGCUGGACAAUGACUUCAAAGAGAUGGAGAUGUCAUCAGCAAGGCGGUGAUGGAAAUGCUGGCAAGGACCAUCAAGUACCUGGAGCCCAACCCAGCCUCACAGGCUAAGCUGACCAUGCUCAACACAGUGUGAAAGAUCCAGGGCCAGGUGAAGAACCCCGGCUACCCGCAGUCGGAGGGGCUCCUGAGCGAGUGCCUGAUCCGCCACCAGAAGGAGCUGGGCAACGAGUCCAACUUCAGUGAUGCACUGCUGGAUGCCGGCGAGUCCAUGAAGCACCUGGCAGAGGUG
Molecule: long non-coding RNA, 511 nt
Filed under: Homo sapiens (human)
Lineage: Eukaryota; Metazoa; Chordata; Mammalia; Primates; Hominidae
Description: non-protein coding lnc-TBC1D29-5:1
Source: RNAcentral